UAGCGGCAGGCUUAACACAUGCAAGUCGAGGGGCAGCAGGCCGGGUAGCAAUACUCGGUGCUGGCGACCGGCGCACGGGUGCGUAACGCGUAUGCAACCUGCCCGUAACAGGGGUAUAACGGAGGGAAACUUCCACUAAUCCCCCAUAUUGUCACUUUUUCGCAUGGGGAGGCGACGAAAGCUUAAUUGUGGUUACGGACGGGCAUGCGUGACAUUAGGUAGUUGGCGGGGUAACGGCCCACCAAGCCGACGAUGUCUAGGGGAGCUGAGAGGCUUAUCCCCCACACUGGUACUGAGACACGGACCAGACUCCUACGGGAGGCAGCAGUGAGGAAUAUUGGUCAAUGGACGGAAGUCUGAACCAGCCAUGCCGCGUGGAGGAAGAAGGUCCUAUGGGUUGUAAACUCCUUUUGUUCCAGAGUAAUAAGGUCUUUGCGAAGACUGAUGAGAGUAUGGGACGAAUAAGCAUCGGCUAACUCCGUGCCAGCAGCCGCGGUAAUACGGAGGAUGCAAGCGUUAUCCGGAUUUAUUGGGUUUAAAGGGUGCGCAGGCGGCGCGUUAAGUCAGCGGUGAAAGGUCCCGGCUCAACCGGGGAGCUGCCGUUGAUACUGGCGUGCUGGAGUGCGGACGGCGCCGGCGGAAUGUGUCAUGUAGCGGUGACAUGCUUAGAGAUGACACAGAACACCGAUCGCGAAGCAGCUGGCGAGGCCGUUACUGACGCUGAGGCACGAAAGCG
RNAcentral lists this ribosomal RNA (736 nucleotides) under uncultured rumen bacterium. RNAcentral's name for it is "bacterial SSU rRNA". It matches the Rfam family "Bacterial small subunit ribosomal RNA", at positions 37 to 761 of the family's 1533-position model. The record is from RNAcentral.